UGGGGAAUAUUGGACAAUGGGGGCAACCCUGAUCCAGCAAUACCGCGUGAGUGAAGAAGGCCUUCGGGUUGUAAAGCUCUUUUACCGGGGAAGAUAAUGACGGUACCCGGGGAAUAAGCUCCGGCUAACUUCGUGCCAGCAGCCGCGGUAAUACGAAGGGAGCUAGCGUUGUUCGGAAUUACUGGGCGUAAGGGCGCGUAGGCGGUUUUGUAAGUCAGAUGUGAAAGCCCCGGGCUUAACCUGGGAACUGCAUUUGAGACUGCAAGACUAGAGAUCGAGAGAGGAAAGUGGAAUUACGAGUGUAGAAGUGAAAUUCGUAGAUAUUCGUAGGAACACCGGCGGCGAAGGCGACUUUCUGGCUCGACCCUGACGCUAAAGCGCGAAAGCGUGGGGAGCAAACA
Molecule: ribosomal RNA, 401 nt
Filed under: uncultured bacterium
Lineage: Bacteria
Description: bacterial SSU rRNA
Rfam family: Bacterial small subunit ribosomal RNA
Source: RNAcentral